This 253-nucleotide ribosomal RNA is filed under the name uncultured bacterium. Its description in RNAcentral is "partial 16S ribosomal RNA". It matches the Rfam family "Bacterial small subunit ribosomal RNA", at positions 524 to 776 of the family's 1533-position model. The record is from RNAcentral.
UACGAAGGGUGCAAGCGUUACUCGGAAUUACUGGGCGUAAAGCGUGCGUAGGUGGUUUGUUAAGUCUGAUGUGAAAGCCCUGGGCUCAACCUGGGAACUGCAUUGGAAACUGGCUUACUAGAGUGCGGUAGAGGGGUGUGGAAUUCCCGGUGUAGCAGUGAAAUGCGUAGAUAUCGGGAGGAACAUCUGUGGCGAAGGCGACUCCCUGGACCGACACUGACGCUGAGGAGCGAAAGCCAGGGGAGCAAACGGG